AUAAUGGUGGAAAACUACA
This 19-nucleotide non-coding RNA is filed under the name Arabidopsis thaliana (thale cress). Lineage: Eukaryota; Viridiplantae; Streptophyta; Magnoliopsida; Brassicales; Brassicaceae. The record is from RNAcentral.